CUAGGGAGAUACUAGUUUUCUAGAGCCGAAGGAGCAACGAAGGUCUCGGAAACUCUCAGGCAAAAGGACCGGGGUG
RNAcentral lists this non-coding RNA (76 nucleotides) under marine eukaryotic metagenome. RNAcentral describes it as "Glycine riboswitch". The stretch from base 4 to 70 matches the Rfam family "Glycine riboswitch aptamer", at positions 12 to 83 of the family's 94-position model. Rfam says of the family: This family represents the bacterial glycine riboswitch. Glycine riboswitches usually consist of two metabolite-binding aptamers domains with similar structures in tandem. The record is from RNAcentral.